GCCGUUGUAGCUCAGUGGUAGAGCACUUCCAUGGUAAGGAAGGGGUCUCGGGUUCAAAUCCCGACAACGGCUCCA
RNAcentral lists this transfer RNA (75 nucleotides) under bacterium. RNAcentral's name for it is "tRNA-Thr". It matches the Rfam family "tRNA". From Rfam's summary of the family: Transfer RNA (tRNA) molecules are approximately 80 nucleotides in length. Their secondary structure includes four short double-helical elements and three loops (D, anti-codon, and T loops). Further hydrogen bonds mediate the characteristic L-shaped molecular structure. tRNAs have two regions of fundamental functional importance: the anti-codon, which is responsible for specific mRNA codon recognition, and the 3' end, to which the tRNAs corresponding amino acid is attached (by aminoacyl-tRNA synthetases). tRNAs cope with the degeneracy of the genetic code in two manners: having more than one tRNA (with a specific anti-codon) for a particular amino acid; and 'wobble' base-pairing, i.e. permitting non-standard base-pairing at the 3rd anti-codon position. The record is from RNAcentral. RNAcentral also lists the same sequence under 3 other names.